This 455-nucleotide ribosomal RNA is filed under the name uncultured bacterium. RNAcentral's name for it is "bacterial SSU rRNA". It matches the Rfam family "Bacterial small subunit ribosomal RNA", at positions 340 to 786 of the family's 1533-position model. The record is from RNAcentral.
UACGGAAGGCAGCAGUGGGGAAUAUUGCACAAUGGGCGAAAGCCUGAUGCAGCUAUGCCGCGUGUAUGAAGAAGGCCUUAGGGUUGUAAAGUACUUUCAUCGGGGAGGAAAAAACAAAACUAAUAAUUUUAUUUCUUGACGUUACCCGAAAAAGAAGCACCGGCUAACUCCGUGCCAGCAGCCGCGGUAAUACGGAGGGUGCUAGCGUUAAUCAGAAUUACUGGGCGUAAAGAGCACGUAGGUGGUUUUUUAAGUCAGAUGUGAAAUCCUUGGGCUUAACCUAGGAACUGCAUUUUGAAACUGAAAUACUAGAGUAUCGUAGAGGGAGGUAGAAUUCUAGGUGUAGCGGUGAAAUGCGUAGAUAUCUGGAGGAAUACCUGUGGCGAAAGCGGCCUCCUAAACGAAUACUGACACUGAGGUGCGAAAGCGUGGGGAGCAAACAGGGAUUAGAUACC